AAAUAUAUUGAAUGAAGAGUUUGAUCCUGGCUCAGGAUGAACGCUGACAGAAUGCUUAACACAUGCAAAUCUAUGUUGAGUAACUAAGCUUGCUUAGAUAUGAGACAUGGUGGACUGGUGAGUAACGUGUAAAGAACUUGCCUCUUAGACUGGGAUAACCAUUGGAAACGAUGGAUAAUACUAGAUAUUAUUAGACAUAGGCAUCUAAGUUUAAUGAAAGAGAGAUCACUAAGAGAGAGCUUUGCAUCCUAUUAGCUAGUUGGUGGGGUAAAGGCCUACCAAGGCGAUGAUAGGUAGCCGGCCCGAGAGGGUGAACGGCCACAAGGGGACUGAGAUACGGCCCUUACUCCUACGGGAGGCAGCAGUGGGGAAUAUUGGACAAUGGAGGCAACUCUGAUCCAGCAAUUCUGUGUGCACGAAGACGGUUUUCGGAUUGUAAAGUGCUUUCAGUAGGGAAGAAGAAAGUGACGGUACCUACAGAAGAAGCGACGGCUAAAUACGUGCCAGCAGCCGCGGUAAUACGUAUGUCGCAAGCGUUAUCCGGAAUUAUUGGGCUUAAAGGGCAUCUAGGCGGUCUAACAAGUUGAAGGUGAAAAGCUGUGGCUCAACCAUAGUCUUGCCUACAAAACUGUAAGACUAGAGUACUGGAAAGGUGGGUGGAACUACACGAGUAGAGGUGAAAUUCGUAGAUAUGUGUAGGAAUGCCGAUGAUGAAGAUAACUCACUGGACAGAAACUGACGCUGAAGUGCGAAAGCUAGGGGAGCAAACAGGAUUAGAUACCCUGGUAGUCCUAGCUGUAAACGAUGAUCACUGGGUGUGGGGGUGCGAAACCUCUGUGCCGAAGCAAAAGCGAUAAGUGAUCCGCCUGGGGAGUACGUACGCAAGUAUGAAACUCAAAGGAAUUGACGGGGACCCGCACAAGUGGUGGAGCAUGUGGUUUAAUUCGACGCAACGCGAGGAACCUUACCAGGUCUUGACAUACUCGGAAUAAGAUGGAAGCAUCUUAGUGCCUUUGGGAACCGAGAUACAGGUGGUGCAUGGCUGUCGACAGCUCGUGUCGUGAGAUGUUGGGUUAAGUCCCGCAACGAGCGAAACCCCUAUCAUUAGUUGCCAUCAUUAAGUUGGGGACUCUAAUGAAACUGCCCGCGACGAGCGGGAGGAAGGUGGGGAUGACGUCAAGUCAUCAUGCCCCUUAUGAUCUGGGCUACACACGUGCUACAAUGGGUAGUACAAAGAGGAGCGAAGCAGUGAUGUGGAGCAAAUCUCAAAAGCUACUCUCAGUUCGGAUUGAAGUCUGCAACUCGACUUCAUGAAGUUGGAAUCACUAGUAAUCGCAAAUCAGCAAUGUUGCGGUGAAUACGUUCUCGGGUCUUGUACACACCGCCCGUCACACCACGAGAGUUAGUUGCACCUGAAGUUACUGGCCUAACCGUAAGGAGGGAAGUACCUAAGGUGUGAUUAGUGAUUGGGGUGAAGUCGUAACAAGGUAUCCGUACCGGAAGGUGCGGAUGGAUCACCUCCUUUCU
This 1527-nucleotide ribosomal RNA is filed under the name Streptobacillus felis. RNAcentral's name for it is "bacterial SSU rRNA". It matches the Rfam family "Bacterial small subunit ribosomal RNA". The record is from RNAcentral. Lineage: Bacteria; Fusobacteriati; Fusobacteriota; Fusobacteriia; Fusobacteriales; Leptotrichiaceae.